CUACGGGGUGCAGCAGUGGGGAAUAUUGGACAAUGGGGGAAACCCUGAUCCAGCAAUGCCGCGUGUGUGAAGAAGGCCUGCGGGUUGUAAAGCACUUUCGGUUGGGAGGACUGCUUCUAGCACUAAUAUUGUUGGAAGUUGACGUUACCUUCAGAAGAAGCACCGGAGAACUCCGUGCCAGCAGCCGCGGUAAUACGGAGGGUGCAGGCGUUAGUCGGAAUUACUGGGCGUAAAGCGCGCGUAGGCGGCUAGAUCAGUCGGGUGUGAAAGCCCCGGGCUUAACCUGGGAACUGCAUCCGAUACUGUCUAGCUUGAGUACAGGAGAGGAGAGUGGAAUUCCACAUGUAGCGGUGAAAUGCGUAGAUAUGUGGAGGAACACCAAUGGCGAAGGCAGCUCUCUGGCCUGAUACUGACGCUGAGGUGCGAAAGCGUGGGGAGCAAACAGGAUUAGAUACCCUAGUAGUC
RNAcentral lists this ribosomal RNA (465 nucleotides) under uncultured bacterium. RNAcentral's name for it is "partial 16S ribosomal RNA". It matches the Rfam family "Bacterial small subunit ribosomal RNA", at positions 339 to 795 of the family's 1533-position model. The record is from RNAcentral.